Molecule: ribosomal RNA, 279 nt
Filed under: uncultured bacterium
Lineage: Bacteria
Description: partial 16S ribosomal RNA
Rfam family: Bacterial small subunit ribosomal RNA
Source: RNAcentral
UGCCAGCCGCCGCGGUAAUACGUAUGGUGCAAGCGUUAUCCGGAAUUACUGGGCGUAAAGCGCACGUAGGCGGAUCGUUAAGUGAGGGGUGAAAUCCCAGGGCUCAACCCUGGAACUGCCUUUCAUACUGGCGAUCUUGAGUUCGAGAGAGGUGAGUGGAAUUCCGAGUGUAGAGGUGAAAUUCGUAGAUAUUCGGAGGAACACCAGUGGCGAAGGCGGCUCACUGGCUCGAUACUGACGCUGAGGUGCGAAAGCGUGGGGAGCGAACAGGAUUAGAUA